RNAcentral lists this ribosomal RNA (273 nucleotides) under uncultured bacterium. RNAcentral describes it as "partial 16S ribosomal RNA". It matches the Rfam family "Bacterial small subunit ribosomal RNA", at positions 524 to 796 of the family's 1533-position model. The record is from RNAcentral.
UACAGAGGGUGCAAGCGUUAAUCGGAUUUACUGGGCGUAAAGCGUGCGUAGGCGGUUCGUUAAGUCGAUUGUGAAAGCCCUGGGCUUAACCUGGGAAUUGCAGUCGAUACUGGCGGACUAGAGAACGGUAGAGGGAGGCGGAACUCCAGGUGUAGCGGUGAAAUGCGUAGAUAUCUGGAAGAACACCGAUGGCGAAGGCAACCUCCUGGGCCUGUUCUGACGCUGAGGCACGAAAGCGUGGGUAGCAAACAGGAUUAGAUACCCCCGUAGUCC